RNAcentral lists this long non-coding RNA (263 nucleotides) under Phoenix dactylifera (date palm). RNAcentral's name for it is "long non-coding RNA (PDAC_LNC008048)". The record is from RNAcentral. Lineage: Eukaryota; Viridiplantae; Streptophyta; Magnoliopsida; Arecales; Arecaceae.
CAUACGCUUUAAUGGUUGAGUGAACCGGAGAUCAGCAGAAGCCAUACGCUUUAAUGGUUGAGUGAGCCGGAGAACAGAACAGGCCAUGCGCAUUAAUUGUUGACGGCGAGGCAGGGUAUGGUCUCCUGUUGAGCUACGGAAGGGUGUGACGUUAGUAGGUGAGCGGUGAGGUUGGGCUUUUGAAACUAGGCUCCAGAAGGAGAUUAGACCGAGGUCGAAUGCUAUGCCGAGGCAUCUCGGAGUCCAGCAUCUGGUCGGGAGCC